Molecule: ribosomal RNA, 486 nt
Filed under: uncultured bacterium
Lineage: Bacteria
Description: partial 16S ribosomal RNA
Rfam family: Bacterial small subunit ribosomal RNA
Source: RNAcentral
AUUGAACGCUGGCGGCAUGCCUUACACAUGCAAGUCGAACGGCAGCACGGGUGCUUGCACCUGGUGGCGAGUGGCGAACGGGUGAGUAAUACAUCGGAACAUGUCCUGUAGUGGGGGAUAGCCCGGCGAAAGCCGGAUUAAUACCGCAUACGAUCUACGGAUGAAAGCGGGGGGCCUUCGGGCCUCGCGCUGUAGGGUUGGCCGAUGGCUGAUUAGCUAGUUGGUGGGGUAAAGGCCUACCAAGGCGACGAGCAGUAGCUGGUUUGAGAGGACGACCAGCCACACUGGGACUGAGACACGGCCCAGACUCCUACGGGAGGCAGCAGUGGGGAAUUUUGGACAAUGGGCGAAAGCCUGAUCCAGCAAUGCCGCGUGUGUGAAGAAGGCCUUCGGGUUGUAAAGCACUUUUGUCCGGAAAGAAAUCCUUGGCCCUAAUACGGUCGGGGGAUGACGGUACCGGAAGAAUAAGCACCGGCUAACUACGUG